UACGUAGGUGGCGAGCGUUGUCCGGAAUUAUUGGGCGUAAAGAGCGCGCAGGUGGUUGAUUAAGUCUGAUGUGAAAGCCCACGGCUUAACCGUGGAGGGUCAUUGGAAACUGGUCGACUUGAGUGCAGAAGAGGGAAGUGGAAUUCCAUGUGUAGCGGUGAAAUGCGUAGAGAUAUGGAGGAACACCAGUGGCGAAGGCGGCUUCCUGGUCUGUAACUGACACUGAGGCGCGAAAGCGUGGGGAGCAAACAGGAUUAGAUA
RNAcentral lists this ribosomal RNA (261 nucleotides) under uncultured prokaryote. RNAcentral's name for it is "partial 16S ribosomal RNA". It matches the Rfam family "Bacterial small subunit ribosomal RNA", at positions 524 to 784 of the family's 1533-position model. The record is from RNAcentral.